AACGAACGCUGGCGGCGUGCUUAACACAUGCAAGUCGAACGCGAAAGUUUUCUUCGGAAGACGAGUAGAGUGGCGCACGGGUGAGUAACGCGUAAGUAAUCUGCCCUGGUAUCUGGGAUAACCCACCGAAAGGUGUGCUAAUACCGGAUACGCUGAGCAAUCAGGAAAGGUGGCCUCUUCAUGAGAGCUACUGUACCAGGAGGAGCUUGCGUACCAUUAGCUAGUUGGUAGGGUAAUGGCCUACCAAGGCAACGAUGGUUAGCUGGUCUGAGAGGAUGAUCCGCCACACUGGAACUGAAACACGGACCAGACUCCUACGGGAGGCAGCAGUGAGGAAUAUUGCGCAAUGGGGGAAACCCUGACGCAGCGACGCCGCGUGGAUGAUGAAGGCC
This 392-nucleotide ribosomal RNA is filed under the name uncultured bacterium. RNAcentral describes it as "bacterial SSU rRNA". It matches the Rfam family "Bacterial small subunit ribosomal RNA", at positions 29 to 416 of the family's 1533-position model. The record is from RNAcentral.